UUCUUGCCUGGAAAAGUCCUCGGACCGAGGAGCCUGGCUGGCUACAGUCCAUGGGACGGCACAGAGCUGGGCACAACUGCACAACCAACUUUACUACUGCCAGAGAACUUCACCCCACAGGCCACGACUGAAACCUGGCACAAUCAAAUAAAUAGUGAACAUAAAAUAAAGUGGCCCGCAGAGCCAAGCAGGCAUAUCUCGGAAGAAAACAGCACAGAUGACCAACAAGCACGUGGGAAGACGCUUGACGUCACUGACUGCCAAAGAAAGGCAACCCUAAACUGCAGUGAGGGGCUGCUUCACACCCGUCAGGACAGCGCUCCCUGCCGGUCACGAGAAAGUCUGCAAGCGAUAAAUGCUGGGGAGGCGGAGGCAAGGGGCCCUCCUCCACUGCCGGUGGCAAUGUGAGGUGGUGCAGUCACUAUGGAGAACAGGAUGGGGGCUUCUCAAGAAGACAAAACCAGAACUAGAAUGCGACCCAGUGAUCCCACUCCCACGAUACGACCCAGCGAUCCGACUCCCACGAUACGACCCAGCGANCCGACUCCCACGAUACGACCCAGCGAUCCGACUCGCACGAUACGACCCAGUGAUCCGACUCCCACGAUAUGACCCGGCGACCCCACUCCUGAGCAUGUAUCUGAAAAGAUGAAAAUCUAAUUCAAGAAGACACACGCACCCUAGUGUUCACUGCAGCUCUAUUUACAACAGCCAAGAAAUGGAAGCAACUGAAUGUCCACGGGCAGAUGGAUGGACACAGAGAUGUGGAACACAGGCACGACGGGGCGUCCGUGGAGUGUAAGAAAGAAUGAAGAGACGCCGUUUGUGGCAGCACGGAUGGGCCUAGGGAUCACCAUCCCAAGUGAAGUAAGCCGGACAGAUGAAGACAGAGAUCACAUGACGUGACUGAUAUGUGGAGUCAGAAAAAGGGUACACAAGGGCUUAUCUAUGAAGCAGACACAGACUCACAGACAGAGAACAAGCUUGUGGCUACCGAAGGGGAGGGGAUGAAAUGGGAGCUCGGGAUUACCAUACGCACACUGCUAGCAUAUGAACAGGUGAUCAACAAGGACCUACUGUACAGAGCUCAGGGAGCCCCACUCUGCACUGCAUCAUAAUCUAAAUGGGAAAAGCAUCUGGAAAAGA
Molecule: long non-coding RNA, 1146 nt
Filed under: Capra hircus (goat)
Lineage: Eukaryota; Metazoa; Chordata; Mammalia; Artiodactyla; Bovidae
Description: lncRNA (ENSCHIG00010022868.1)
Source: RNAcentral